Molecule: long non-coding RNA, 1155 nt
Filed under: Homo sapiens (human)
Lineage: Eukaryota; Metazoa; Chordata; Mammalia; Primates; Hominidae
Description: HSALNT0162462
Source: RNAcentral
UCUGGGGUGGCCUGUGGGAGGAUGGAGUGGGGACAAGGGCAGGGCAAGGGGAUCUGUUGAACAUGUGACCUCCUAUAAGCUUUUAUUUGAAGAACCAGCCCUACUCUUCUCACUUAUAAGUGGGACACCCAGACCAAGGAGUGGGAGAUACAGGUCUAGCUUAGCAGCGGAGACAGAUGCCUCCUUCUCCACUGCCCUGUGCCUGCCUGCACGGUGCUGCCCCUUUCCAGCAGUGGUCCUAGGUCUGCCUUCACCUGGCUUCCUGCCUUGAAUCAUUCAGUAUUUUCUAAGGGCUGUUCAGGGACAGAAGCUGAGCACUGAAUGGACAGAAGUCUCCGGAAGGCAGAAGGCAUCUAUUGAAAUGCACACCUGUUGGUGGGAUGGCUGCCAAUCAGCAUCAACUGGCCCAGAGCCAGGAUACCUUCAAAACAGUAGUUCCUAACCUUGGCUGCACAUUAGGGAGCUCUGACAGUGAAUUCCUGUGUCCCACCCCCAGUGGCUCUGAUUUAACUAGUCUGCAGUGUUUAUUGUCAUUGGGAGUUGUAAAAGCUCCUCUAGGGAUUCAGCCAGGGUUGAGAACCACAGCUUUAGAAGACAACUGCACAUGGGGUGUUUGCUGGCUGCCAUCCUAAGGGAGAUUCUUCUCAGGGAGAGGCACAUCUGCGAAUAAAUCUCCUGGUCAGAAAGUGGAAAGGGCAUCUGUCCCAAGCCCCAACUUGAGACAACUCCACCCAGAGCCACAGGUGCUGUUGGAUGGUCUGUGCACUGCUCAAAGGUGUCCAGUAGAGGGAGAAGCUGCAUGGAGGACCAGAGUAAGCCCUUCUGGAGGCAGAGGAGAGAAACAAUGCUACUCUGGCUUUGUGAUGCCUGCCCAGGGGUCACCAGCACCUGGGUCCCCAGCCUGCCUGCUUAGUGCACUCUCUGUUCCUGCUGCCAGGAGGUCGAUGCCGCAGCUCCCUUGCAUGUCACUCAAGGUCUUCAUGGGCAGCUCCCACCCUCAUACUUUGGUUUCUCCUUCUGUCUAUCCCAGUAGUGGGCCGGACCAGCUGGAGAGUACCAAUGACAUAACUGAUUGUUAAAUUUUCAGGAGUUUUGUAAGCCAGUUGUUUAGCAAGAACAUCAUUAGAAAUUAAUGUAUAUAAACUUAUAAUUAAA